UACGGAAGGUCCAGGCGUUAUCCGGAUUUAUUGGGUUUAAAGGGAGCGUAGGCCGAUGGCCAAGCGUGUUGUGAAAUGUGGACGCUCAACGUCCGACUUGCAGCGCGAACUGGCCGUCUUGAGUGCGCGCAACGUUGGCGGAAUUCGUCGUGUAGCGGUGAAAUGCUUAGAUAUGACGAAGAACUCCGAUUGCGAAGGCAGCUGACGGGAGCGCAACUGACGCUGAAGCUCGAAGGUGCGGGUAUCGAAC
This 250-nucleotide ribosomal RNA is filed under the name uncultured bacterium. RNAcentral's name for it is "partial 16S ribosomal RNA". It matches the Rfam family "Bacterial small subunit ribosomal RNA", at positions 524 to 773 of the family's 1533-position model. The record is from RNAcentral.